RNAcentral lists this transfer RNA (76 nucleotides) under Roseibacillus sp. Its description in RNAcentral is "tRNA-His". It matches the Rfam family "tRNA". From Rfam's summary of the family: Transfer RNA (tRNA) molecules are approximately 80 nucleotides in length. Their secondary structure includes four short double-helical elements and three loops (D, anti-codon, and T loops). Lineage: Bacteria; Pseudomonadati; Verrucomicrobiota; Verrucomicrobiia; Verrucomicrobiales; Verrucomicrobiaceae. RNAcentral also lists the same sequence under 2 other names. The record is from RNAcentral.
GUGGCCGUAGCUCAGUUGGUAGAGCCCCUGAUUGUGGUUCAGGUUGUCGCGGGUUCAAGUCCCGUCGGUCGCCCCA